RNAcentral lists this non-coding RNA (25 nucleotides) under Mus musculus (house mouse). The record is from RNAcentral. Lineage: Eukaryota; Metazoa; Chordata; Mammalia; Rodentia; Muridae.
UGCACAAGACUCUCACUUUUCCCUU